GACGUAGGGCGCGAGCGUUAUCCGGAAUCAUUGGGUUUAAAGGGUCCGUAGGCGGUUUAGUAAGUCAGUGGUGAAAGCCCAUCGCUCAACGGUGGAACGGCCAUUGAUACUGCUAGACUUGAAUUAUUAGGAAGUAACUAGAAUAUGUAGUGUAGCGGUGAAAUGCUUAGAGAUUACAUGGAAUACCAAUUGCGAAGGCAGGUUACUACUAAUGGAUUGACGCUGAUGGACGAAAGCGUGGGUAGCGAACAGG
This 253-nucleotide ribosomal RNA is filed under the name uncultured bacterium. RNAcentral describes it as "partial 16S ribosomal RNA". It matches the Rfam family "Bacterial small subunit ribosomal RNA", at positions 524 to 776 of the family's 1533-position model. The record is from RNAcentral.